RNAcentral lists this ribosomal RNA (253 nucleotides) under uncultured bacterium. RNAcentral describes it as "partial 16S ribosomal RNA". It matches the Rfam family "Bacterial small subunit ribosomal RNA", at positions 524 to 776 of the family's 1533-position model. The record is from RNAcentral.
UACGUAGGGUGCGAGCGUUAAUCGGAAUUACUGGGCGUAAAGCGUGCGCAGGCGGCUUUGCAAGACAGAUGUGAAAUCCCCGGGCUCAACCUGGGAACUGCAUUUGUGACUGCAAGGCUAGAGUAUGGCAGAGGGGGAUGGAAUUCCGCGUGUAGCAGUGAAAUGCGUAGAUAUGCGGAGGAACACCAAUGGCGAAGGCAAUCCCCUGGGCCUGUACUGACGCUCAUGCACGAAAGCGUGGGGAGCAAACAGG